This 301-nucleotide ribosomal RNA is filed under the name uncultured bacterium. Its description in RNAcentral is "partial 16S ribosomal RNA". It matches the Rfam family "Bacterial small subunit ribosomal RNA", at positions 509 to 807 of the family's 1533-position model. The record is from RNAcentral.
CAGUCGCCGCGGUAAUGCGGAGGGUGCAAGCGUUAAUCGGAAUUACGGGGCGUAAAGCGCACGCAGGCGGUUUGUUAAGUCAGAUGUGAAAUCCCCGAGCUUAACUUGGGAACUGCAUUUGAAACUGGCAAGCUAGAGUCUUGUAGAGGGGGGUAGAAUUCCAGGUGUAGCGGUGAAAUGCGUAGAGAUCUGGAGGAAUACCGGUGGCGAAGGCGGCCCCCUGGACAAAGACUGACGCUCAGGUGCGAAAGCGUGGGGAGCAAACAGGAUUAGAUACCCGGGUAGUCCCUGUCUCUUAUAC